UCUCGGAGCACCCAUCAAUCGUCGGGUUCCGUUGGUCCCACGCCCACUCCUGGGGCUCCACCUGGUCCUUCCUCUUCACCGCCAUCUCCCUCUACCUCCUCCUCUCCCUCCUCCUCCACCUCCUCCUCUCCCUCCUCCGCCGCCCCGUCCCUCUCGGCCCCCUCCCCGCUUUCCACUCCCUCCUCAUGACCCUCCUCUCCUUCACCAUCUUCGCCGGCAUCACCCUCUCCUCCGUAGCCGAAAUCCGCGAUACCCGCUGGUUCUGG
Molecule: long non-coding RNA, 266 nt
Filed under: Fragaria vesca (wild strawberry)
Lineage: Eukaryota; Viridiplantae; Streptophyta; Magnoliopsida; Rosales; Rosaceae
Description: long non-coding RNA (FVES_LNC002641)
Source: RNAcentral